RNAcentral lists this ribosomal RNA (255 nucleotides) under uncultured bacterium. RNAcentral's name for it is "partial 16S ribosomal RNA". It matches the Rfam family "Bacterial small subunit ribosomal RNA", at positions 524 to 776 of the family's 1533-position model. The record is from RNAcentral.
UACGGAGGGUGCAAGCGUUAUCCGGAUUCACUGGGUUUAAAGGGUGCGUAGGUGGGCAGGUAAGUCAGUGGUGAAAUCUCCGAGCUUAACUCGGAAACUGCCGUUGAUACUAUUUGUCUUGAAUAUUGUGGAGGUAAGCGGAAUAUGUCAUGUAGCGGUGAAAUGCUUAGAUAUGACAUAGAACACCAAUUGCGAAGGCAGCUUACUACACAACGAUUGACGCUGAGGUACGAAAAGCGUGGGGGAUCAAACAGG